Alosa sapidissima (American shad) is the source of this 159-nucleotide long non-coding RNA. RefSeq lists it as uncharacterized. Lineage: Eukaryota; Metazoa; Chordata; Actinopteri; Clupeiformes; Clupeidae. The transcript has 4 exons. The record is from RefSeq and is a predicted model, not a curated record.
CGGACGACUGAUGACUGAUCCAGCCAUUAAGACGGUGCCGCUGUUCCUGCGCGGCCCUGCAAUCCAUGUCACCGAUGAAGCUUGCCGGCCGCGUCUAACAGAGGGAAGAGGCUACGAGAGAGGACUGGAGAUCGGAAGAGUGUCGUGUAGGGGAAGAGU